UGAUUAAAAUUUGCCAAUCUGGCCCGAUGGCAUGUUCGGUGACCCAGAUAUUGUUGGGCCAGAAAAUUUAAAUCUUGUCAGACCAAGAUUACCAAUCCUGCUGAAAAUGUGUCAUUAAAAUUAAUCCGGUUGGAGAGCAAAUCGCGCAGCACCGCGAAAACCAGAAAUGCUUAUACUUUCCUCUGUGGUUUCUCACUUCUCUCUUCGACAGAAAGGAAGCUGCGGCCAUUUUUGAUUGUCUACGACCAUCGCCGAUCUAAUUUAGUUGUCUUUCAGAUUUGGAUUCACGGCAUCAGGUUCCCAUAUUCAUUUAUCCUCUGUUUAGUCUUCUUCUUCAUUCCAAGUAUGAGGCCAUGUAUUAGACAUAUAUCUCCAUACUUUGAGCUAAAAAGUGCCACUGACUACUGAGUGCCGGAGUUGAAGACGAUGGGAUGCGAAGCUAGAUAGAAGCUGUGAGAAGCUGAAAAUGGAGCAGGGAAGUCUUUGUUCGCGUUAUUCGUGUUUCAUGUUCCUGCAUCCCUCCUGCUUAAAUAUUUUUCAGAAAUUGUGAUAACAGUCGCUCCAAACUGGAUUUUGAAGGUUUAUCGUCGUCGUAAGAUAUACUAGCCUUGUGAUUUUCUUUUCAUUUAGAAUAAAUGGCUCCAGCCAAAAACCCAAGAGCUUGAAAGCCAAGAGCACGUUGAUGUAUUUGAUUUAGUAUUUGUAGGAACUUUUUUAUUUUAGUAUUAGAUUUAGCCAUUAUUGGUCAAUCAUGACAUUUGUGGUUACUCUAGGAAUUAUCAAUUUAUUUGCACAAAUUUAUCUUAUUAAAUCAUAUAU
Molecule: long non-coding RNA, 819 nt
Organism: Argentina anserina (silverweed cinquefoil)
Lineage: Eukaryota; Viridiplantae; Streptophyta; Magnoliopsida; Rosales; Rosaceae
Exons: 3
Source: RefSeq, a predicted model, not a curated record